GUGAAUUUAAUAUAAUGUUAUAGUUCUGGGUAAUAUUUAUAAAUUUUGCAAAGUACGCAAGCUUUUAUAUAAUAUUCGAUUGGUCGGGGAAUAUUCGUUUUAACAGGGAAUAUUCGUACGAUGGCACAAUCAUUGGUGGACCCCACAACAGAAUUAUUGUCGGAUUGAGAAAACGACAAAAAUUUCUUUUUAUAACAAUAAUGGCGAAAGUUUUACCGUUAACUGUUGAAACACCCGGUGUUAAAAGUAUAGUAAUACGCGUGGUUGAAUA
Molecule: long non-coding RNA, 271 nt
Filed under: Panax ginseng (ginseng)
Lineage: Eukaryota; Viridiplantae; Streptophyta; Magnoliopsida; Apiales; Araliaceae
Description: long non-coding RNA (PGIN_LNC003400)
Source: RNAcentral